CUGCCUCCACUGAUAGACUGGGAACAGUUUGUGGUUCUUUUGGUUUGCACUAGGAUGCAAAAGUAAAGUAUCCCUGUGCUUUCUGUCUGUGUGGCAGCCUAGAUUGAAUGGGGGAGUACAUCA
Jaculus jaculus (lesser Egyptian jerboa) is the source of this 123-nucleotide small nucleolar RNA. Lineage: Eukaryota; Metazoa; Chordata; Mammalia; Rodentia; Dipodidae. The record is from Ensembl.